This 500-nucleotide ribosomal RNA is filed under the name uncultured bacterium. RNAcentral describes it as "partial 16S ribosomal RNA". It matches the Rfam family "Bacterial small subunit ribosomal RNA", at positions 30 to 523 of the family's 1533-position model. The record is from RNAcentral.
AUUGAACGCUGGCGGAAUGCUUUACACAUGCAAGUCGAACGGCAGCACGGACUUCGGUCUGGUGGCGAGUGGCGAACGGGUGAGUAAUACAUCGGAACGUGCCCAGUCGUGGGGGACAACGUAGCGAAAGCUACGCUAAUACCGCAUACGAUCUACGGAUGAAAGCGGGGGAUCGCAAGACCUCGCGCGAUUGGAGCGGCCGAUGGCAGAUUAGGUAGUCGGUGGGGUAAAGGCUCACCAAGCCGACGAUCUGUAGCUGGUCUGAGAGGACGACCAGCCACACUGGGACUGAGACACGGCCCAGACUCCUACGGGAGGCAGCAGUGGGGAAUUUUGGACAAUGGGCGCAAGCCUGAUCCAGCCAUUCCGCGUGCAGGAUGAAGGCCCUCGGGUUGUAAACUGCUUUUGUACGGAACGAAAAGGCCCUGGUUAAUACCUGGGGCUCAUGACGGUACCGUAAGAAUAAGCACCGGCUAACUACGUGCCAGCAGCCGCCGUAA